CCUACGGGUGGCAGCAGUGGGGAAUAUUGCACAACGGGCGCAAGCCUGAUGCAGCCAUGCCGCGUGUGUGAAGAAGGCCUUCGGGUUGUAAAGCACUUUCAGCGGGGAGGAAGGCGUUAAGGUUAAUAACCUUGGCGAUUGACGUUACCCGCAGAAGAAGCACCGGCUAACUCCGUGCCAGCAGCCGCGGUAAUACGGAGGGUGCAAGCGUUAAUCGGAAUUACUGGGCGUAAAGCGCACGCAGGCGGUCUGUCAAGUCGGAUGUGAAAUCCCCGGGCUCAACCUGGGAACUGCAUUCGAAACUGGCAGGCUAGAGUCGUGUAGAGGGGGGUAGAAUUCCAGGUGUAGCGGUGAAAUGCGUAGAGAUCUGGAGGAAUACCGGUGGCGAAGGCGGCCCCCUGGACAAAGACUGACGCUCAGGUGCGAAAGCGUGGGGAGCAAACAGGAUUAGAUACCCGGGUAGUC
This 465-nucleotide ribosomal RNA is filed under the name uncultured Klebsiella sp. RNAcentral's name for it is "bacterial SSU rRNA". It matches the Rfam family "Bacterial small subunit ribosomal RNA", at positions 338 to 795 of the family's 1533-position model. The record is from RNAcentral. Lineage: Bacteria; Pseudomonadati; Pseudomonadota; Gammaproteobacteria; Enterobacterales; Enterobacteriaceae.